This 301-nucleotide ribosomal RNA is filed under the name uncultured bacterium. RNAcentral's name for it is "partial 16S ribosomal RNA". It matches the Rfam family "Bacterial small subunit ribosomal RNA", at positions 509 to 807 of the family's 1533-position model. The record is from RNAcentral.
CAGCCGCCGCGGUAAUACGAAGGGUGCAAGCGUUAAUCGGAAUUACUGGGCGUAAAGCGUGCGUAGGCGGUGAGUUACGUCUGCUGUGAAAUCCCCGGGCUCAACCUGGGAAUGGCAGUGGAUACUGGCUCGCUAGAGUGUGUCAGAGGAUGGUGGAAUUCCCGGUGUAGCGGUGAAAUGCGUAGAGAUCGGGAGGAACAUCAGUGGCGAAGGCGGCCAUCUGGGACAACACUGACGCUGAGGCACGAAAGCGUGGGGAGCAAACAGGAUUAGAUACCCCGGUAGUCCCUGUCUCUUAUAC